This 609-nucleotide long non-coding RNA is filed under the name Jatropha curcas. RNAcentral describes it as "long non-coding RNA (JCUR_LNC002257)". Lineage: Eukaryota; Viridiplantae; Streptophyta; Magnoliopsida; Malpighiales; Euphorbiaceae. The record is from RNAcentral.
CCAUUCGUGUGACACACUGCAUGAUCAUAAAUUUAAUCGAUAAACAAAUAAAAAUAUUUUAGCAUCUGUAUGAUUGUGUGGGGUGAGAGGGUUAUCUAACCCUACUCAUUGAGUUUGGCGCUCACUCCUGCCUGCCUAUUUUUUUUCCAGGUAAUAGAAGAAAGAAAAAUUCUAUGGAGUUGAGACAUAAGUAUAGAAGACUGUAAACGAUAAAUAAAUGAUGAUGUAAAUGUACAGGUAGAGUUCCGCAAUUGUAUUCUAGUGGGUUGUAGAUGAACUGUACUAGUGAUACAUAAUUGAAAUAAAUUAUUAGGCAUGUAUCCACAGUUAUGAAUAGUAAAUGAGAUUUGCAUAAUAUAGGCUUACUACGGGCUUCGGGGGCCUUAAGCCCACCCAGGUCCUAGUGCCGGUCCGGUCCAUGGAAAUGGGUCGUGACAAUUAGCCCCGGCCAAUAUUGUUGUUAAACUCGACUCAACAUUGACCUGGCUAAAGAAUUGGGUGUCAUUAGUUUAACAGGUGAAUUAAUAGUUCAGCCAGUGGGUAAUAAAAAUAUUUAUAAUAUAUAUUAAUUAAAUAAUAUAAUUUAAAAUAAUUAUAAUAUAAUAAAAU